AUACUACUUCAUCCGUUCAAAAAUACUUGUCAAUAAAGUGAACAAAAAAGAUGUAUAUAAAACUAAAAUACAUCUAGAUACAUCUUCUUUUAUUUAUUUUAAUGACAAGUAUUUUUGGAUGGAGGAAGUAGUAC
Non-coding RNA from Triticum aestivum (bread wheat), 134 nucleotides. The record is from Rfam. NCBI's taxonomy places the organism in Eukaryota, Viridiplantae, Streptophyta, Magnoliopsida, Poales, Poaceae.